GGUUACGGGCGGCCGCCGCGGCCUCGCAGCGGAGCCGUUUGGGCGGGAGCCGGCGAGGGAGCAGCGGCCGCAGCAUUUUAGUGGUUUAUAAAGAUUCCAGCAGUGCUCUGGGAAAGCGCAGCCUCCCGUUCCAGGCACCGUGUUCAGCACAGGAAUAUCCUGGCUCUCGACCUGCAGGUCUUGAGAUAAUCAUCUGACUCGCGUUCCAGAAGCGAAGCUCUUGUGGAUGUGUUUGAGAAGCCUGAAAAUAAAUAUAUUCACAUGUGU
Molecule: long non-coding RNA, 267 nt
Filed under: Parus major (Great Tit)
Lineage: Eukaryota; Metazoa; Chordata; Aves; Passeriformes; Paridae
Description: lncRNA (ENSPMJG00000017379.1)
Source: RNAcentral